AUAUAGAUAUAGAUGUAUAUGAUGAUUCCAGAUCUCAUGAUAGAAAUUAUUAGGUAUUAUGUAGUUAGUUUAAGAAUUAUUAGAAAAUUAUAGUGGAAAAGAAUCUUAUGAAAAAUCUAGCAUAUCUGCAUAAAAGAAAUUUAUUAGUUUGAUAGGAAAAAAAUGAAAAAAAACAUUGUUAUGAGAUAAAAAAUAAAGGUACAGUCAUAAGAUUAACUUAAAAUUUAAAUUUAAAUUCAAAAUUCUAUGCAUUUAUAUAUAUUUUUUAAGAGAUAGGUAGCACACUACCUGUUUCGUUUAUUUUAUUUAGAAAUAAACUUAGUUGUAAAUGUGAAUCAGCUAGAAUUCGAACUUGAAACCUCGGGUAUCACCCACCAAAUUUUUUGUCAUUUACUCAUUUAUAAAAUCAAAGUAUUGUUGAUUAAAUAUAGUCGCCACUUUU
This 442-nucleotide long non-coding RNA is filed under the name Ananas comosus (pineapple). RNAcentral describes it as "long non-coding RNA (ACOM_LNC002607)". The record is from RNAcentral. Lineage: Eukaryota; Viridiplantae; Streptophyta; Magnoliopsida; Poales; Bromeliaceae.